CCGACCCUACAAAAUGCUUAAAAGGUAACUUGACUCUUUGUUUGGGGGCUCAGUCAUUUUUGAAUGUUAAUCUGACUGGGCUGGUGGACCUAAAUAAUAAUAAUAAUAAAUCCUCCUCAACCCCUCAGUCUCUCUGAUUCCUAAAUUAUCCUGAAACAUUUCUGGUGGCCCAUACAGGGAUCAGAGAUGACAGAUUUACUGUCUCCUUUGCCUGUGGGACUAGAGCCCCAGGGCCGGGGGAGACCCAGCAUGCAAGGUGCACCCUAGGGGACCUUCACCUGGAUGGAGACCAGCUCUCCCUGCAUCCUGGCAGCCUACCCAGCAGCACAACAGAACUGGGGAUGAGGCUGCAGGACAAUACUAGCACUUCAGGAACUGCGCCGACUGAAACCAGUGGCAGCAGUGACUCCCAAUGAUGACCAGUGGAUUAGCCAACAAGACCCAGAUCACCCCACCCGAAUGGGCCUACGGCAAAACCCAACCACCAGUAAGAAGGACAAUUGCCUUGCUCUGACCACACUGGAGGCUGGUCAGUCUACCCACAGCUGAAGCUUGAGAAUCCUGCAAGCUCUGCUCUAGUCAUAUCCUGGAAUCUGACUAGUCGACACACAGCCGAAGCUAAGAGGGCCAUCACUGAAUAAGCAUUGUGAAGACUCUGUUUCUCUAGCCGUGCAGCUGCAAGGUCACUAGACAGAUAAACUCAAGUCAUAAACAUGUUUUUUCUUGAAAGAGAGCCUAGAAAAUAUCACCUAGUGAAUAUCUACUUCCAUGAAGCCAAUGAUACAUUUUUAGGUCUUAAACUUCAAUAUUUAAAAUAUUUGUCUCUGGACUUUGAAAAAUAAUGUGUAUGCCUUGUUUACUGGAUAAAAAGGCUAAUCACUUGUUCAUCUGAUUAGUAAUCAAACUUUCUAAAAUUUAUUUAAUACUUGAUGUUACUUUAUGUUUUAUAUAUAAAUGUGUAUUUCCAUGACAGUUUUAGUGUCACCUAAUAUUAUUUUCAAUGUUGUAAUUUUUAUUUAUAUGAAUCUUUGUGUUAUACAUUUUAAUGUCAUUGGUAUUAAAAGUGUAUGAGCAAAUAGCUUGAAAUAGUGCCUAGCACAUCAUGGAUUCUGUGUAAAUAUUCACCACUCUGUUUCAUCACAUUUUAACCCAUUCAUUCCACUCUUCAUUUCCUAACACUUUGUUUGUCCUUAUUCAAAUUUGUGUUGGUGUCCUGUCUACAUAUUAAUAGAAGAGAGGAGGUAGGCCCAGACUUCCAUCUUGAUUAAAUACUAAGACAAAUGGCAAUUUUCCUAGUUCUAUAUAUAUUCAACAUUACAUUUGUCUCACACUAUAAAUAUGAGUAUUAAGUACAGCAAGAAAAAUAAUCUUAACCUUCCUGCAAGAGAUGUUGGGAUAUUUACGGAUUGUCCACAACUUCUUUCGCCCAACAUUAUAUUUAUUCUUACAUCUCAACUGCCAUGAAAACCUAGAAGCAUGAAAUACUACAAAUUAGAAACAAAUUCCCUGCUGUAUACAAAUUGUAAAAGUAAACUCAAGAAGAAAUAGAAUAUAUGCAUACUCAUACAACAAGCAAAUAGAUUAGACUAGUGAAAACUCUUCAUCAGUCUAGCCCAGGCUCACAUAGCUUUACUAGUCAAUUCUAUUAAACACUUCAUGAAUAAUCAAUCCUUCACAAACACUUGCAAAACAGAGAAGCAGGAAAACAUCAAUUCAUUUUUGAGGCCAGUAUUACCCAGAUAACAAAUUAGAUGAAAGCAUCACAAGAAAAUAAAUGUGCAGACUAUUAUCUCUCAUGAAUAAAGACAGAAAUCUCCAAAAACUCUAGCAAACUGGAUGAAGCAACACAUAAAAAUGUUAGACAAGCCUGGCAUUGCGGUGCACACCUGUAGUCCCAGCCACUUAGGAGGCUGAGGUGGCAGGAUCACUUGAGCCCAGGAGUUUGAGGUUAUAGUGAGCUGUGACUGUGCCACUCCACCCCAAUCUGGGUGACAAAGUGAGGCCUCAUCUCUAAUAAAAAUUAAGGAAAAUUAGAAAAAAUUUAGACAAUAUAACCAAGUGGAAUUAUCUUAUCAAUACAAAUUUAAAAAUCAAUCAGUGUAAUACACCAUAUUAAUAGAAUAAAGGAAAAGACCAUGAUGACUUAAAUGGACAUCUGACAAAGUCUGACACUCAUUCCUGAUAAAUCCUCCAGAAAUCUAGCAAUAGAAAUAACUUCUUUAACCUCCUAAAGAACAUCCAUGAAAAUUUAAUAAAUUCCACUAAGGUAUAUUGAAAGACAUUUUGAUACUUCCAACUCUAUGGUUUUAAAGAUUAACAACGAAAUUAUAACUAAUAGUAAUCUCUCUAUAUGGAAAACAUUAAACACUUUUCUAACAAUAUUUCUUUUGCAUGUGAUAAAGGUAAAGAUUCAAAUUUAAUAAGAGGAUUGCUCUUGAGAAGACUGAAAUUUGGUGUUCCUAAUUUUCUGACUUAUUAGCAAUUAGAAUCUAAUUAUCAAUAAUUCCAAGAAGACAGGGGUAUUGUCCUCAGCCAAAAGGCAUGAUCACAUAGAAUCCUUAUGUUAGGCAUAACAGCAUUACAUAUUUGAAUCAUUUGAUAACAUUGCCAUCAUUGCUGUAUUCUCCUGGAAAUAACACACAAUACAGACUUCAAAAAAAUCAGAGCUUUUGUUGGGAUAUAUGCUCCUUCCAAAGGUGAUUGUGUGCAGUAUUCUGCGAAUCAAUUCCUUCAAAGGUAAAGUGUGGCUAUCUGGGCUUCUGGGAAUAUUCCAAAAAUCCACAUAUUCUAAAAAUCUUUUCCACUACAAACCACCAUAAAUGCCGGACAACAGAAUAUGUGCUCAACUGUGCAAAUUAUACUUUGGGGCUUUUGUACACAGUUUUUGCACAGAAAUAUUUAAGUGAAUAUAAAUUCAAAUGUUUUCCAGGUGGAUAUUGAGGAAGAAACAGAAAAAUCCAAGGCAAUCCCCUGUGGAAGAAAAUUAUCCAACCCAAAUUUCAACUGAACCCAAAGCUCAACCCAAAGCACCAAACAGCACAUCAAGACCUGUCAAAUAUAAUCACACAAUCUAAUACUUUUAAAUACGCAAAAUGAAGAGCACCAAAGUCAAUGUCAUUCAGAAAUAACAAUAACAAAACUAGAACACCCCGAUGCCAUUAGGCCUCAAGGAAUUCCAAAGUAGUGUAUUAGGUAUAAAAAAUAUAUAUGUAAUUAGAAAUGUUUACAGAAAUUAGAGGGAUUUUUUUGUUUGUUAGUUUGUUGGUUUGUUUGUUUGAGACGAGGUCUCGCUCUGUCACCCAGGCUGGAGUGCAGCAGCGCGAUCUUGGCUCACUGCAAGCUCCGCCUCCUGGGUUCACGCCAUUCUCCUGCCUCAACCUCCCAAGUAGCUGAGACUACAGGCACCUGCCACCAUGCCCGGGUAAUUUUUUAUAUAUUUUUUUAUUAGAGAUGGGGUUUCACCGUGUUAGCCAGGAUGGGAGGGAUUUUUUUAAAAAAAAGAUUUGGCCUCUAAAACAGUUAACAUUUCAGUAAAGAAGAAAAGAGAAAUUCAAUGUUUGAUAUACAUACAUACAAAUAAAUUUCAGGAAAAUGAAAAGUCC
Gorilla gorilla gorilla (western lowland gorilla) is the source of this 3602-nucleotide long non-coding RNA. RefSeq lists it as uncharacterized. The transcript has 4 exons. Lineage: Eukaryota; Metazoa; Chordata; Mammalia; Primates; Hominidae. The record is from RefSeq and is a predicted model, not a curated record.